This 613-nucleotide small RNA is filed under the name Histoplasma ohiense. RNAcentral describes it as "hypothetical lncRNA". Lineage: Eukaryota; Fungi; Ascomycota; Eurotiomycetes; Onygenales; Ajellomycetaceae. The record is from RNAcentral.
AGCCAACGCGGAGAUGUCUUGAUCUUCCCACCUUUGCGUCAAUUUCAAACAGUUGGAAAUACUGGCCGGAAUACAGGGUGCGACUUCUCUGUUUCAGUAACUUACCUCCACCUCGACUCAAGGUGUAAAAUUUCAUGUCAGCAAGACCUCGGUCUUUGCCUGUUCUUAAAUACUCAGGCAUGAUGAUUGAGCCCUGAAUGAAGAAAUCUACAGUUUAGACACCUGCAGAGGUCAAGGAAUUGACGAAACGGGCAACUUCGAAAUCUUGACAAAUAGUAACUUCUGACCUAGAGGGGUAAAGUAUCCGAAGUCGACCAGGAUCUCAUUGCGAUUUUGCAGUAUCUCCUGCGUAGCAGCCGGGAUGGUGCGUUAGCUCAACUGAGUUCAAGAAAGGUUGUUCGAGCUUUCAUUCUGGCUAAACAACAUCGAUGUCAGGCUGGGGGGGAUCAAAGGGAAUCACGACAAUGGCUCAAAAACAUCACCUUGUUCACACCGUCCACAUCUGUGACUCAUAUUUACGAAUCUCCUUGCACCAGCUAGAAUGAGCUCAAGAGCCACGAGGGACUAGAUCGCGCCUCCAUCAAGCUUAUGGAGUUCAUCUGGCAAAUGGGCG